GACGAACGCUGGCGGCGUGCUUAACACAUGCAAGUCGAACGGAAAGGCCCUGCUUUUGUGGGGUGCUCGAGUGGCGAACGGGUGAGUAACACGUGAGUAACCUGCCCUUGACUUUGGGAUAACUUCAGGAAACUGGGGCUAAUACCGGAUAGGAGCUCCUGCUGCAUGGUGGGGGUUGGAAAGUUUCGGCGGUUGGGGAUGGACUCGCGGCUUAUCAGCUUGUUGGUGGGGUAGUGGCUUACCAAGGCUUUGACGGGUAGCCGGCCUGAGAGGGUGACCGGCCACAUUGGGACUGAGAUACGGCCCAGUGUCCUAUGUGAGGCAGCAGUGGGGAAUAUUGCCCAAUGGGAGGAAGCCUGAUGCAGCAACGCCGCGUGCGGGAUGACGGCCUUCGGGUUGUAAACCGCUUUCGCCUGUGACGACGCGUGAGUGACGGUAAUGGGUAAAGAAGCACCGGCUAACUACGUG
RNAcentral lists this ribosomal RNA (468 nucleotides) under uncultured bacterium. RNAcentral's name for it is "partial 16S ribosomal RNA". It matches the Rfam family "Bacterial small subunit ribosomal RNA", at positions 28 to 507 of the family's 1533-position model. The record is from RNAcentral.